This 460-nucleotide ribosomal RNA is filed under the name uncultured bacterium. RNAcentral describes it as "partial 16S ribosomal RNA". It matches the Rfam family "Bacterial small subunit ribosomal RNA", at positions 338 to 795 of the family's 1533-position model. The record is from RNAcentral.
CCUACGGGGGGCAGCAGUGAGGAAUAUUGGUCAAUGGACGUAAGUCUGAACCAGCCAAGUCGCGUGAAGGAUGACGGCUCUAUGGAUCGUAAACUUCUUUUAUAUGGGAAUAAAGUGCGGGAUGUGUACUGUUUUGUAUGUACCAUAUGAAUAAGGAUCGGCUAACUCCGUGCCAGCAGCCGCGGUAAUACGGAGGAUCCGAGCGUUAUCCGGAUUUAUUGGGUUUAAAGGGAGCGUAGGCGGCCUUUUAAGUCAGCGGUGAAAGUCUGUGGCUCAACCAUAGAAUUGCAGUUGAUACUGGGUGGCUUGAGUAUGUUAGAGGCAGGCGGAAUGCGUGGUGUAGCGGUGAAAUGCUUAGAUAUCACGCAGAACCCCGAUUGCGAAGGCAGCCUGCUGGGCCAUGACUGACGCUGAUGCACGAAAGCGUGGGGAUCAAACAGGAUUAGAUACCCUUGUAGUC